GACGAACGCUGGCGGCGUGCUUAACACAUGCAAGUCGAACGGAAAGGCCCUGCUUUUGUGGGGUGCUCGAGUGGCGAACGGGUAAGUAACACGUGAGUAACUUGCCCUUGACUUUGGGAUAACUUCAGGAAACUGGGGCUAAUACCGGAUAGGAGCUCCUGCUGCAUGGUGGGGGUUGGAAAGUUUCGGCGGUUGGGGAUGGACUCGCGGCUUAUCAGCUUGUUGGUGGGGUAGUGGCUUACCAAGGCUUUGACGGGUAGCCGGCCUGAGAGGGUGACCGGCCACAGUGGGACUGUGAGACGGGCCAGAGUCCUACGGGGGGGAGAGGUGGGGAGUAUAGCGCAAUAGGCGGAAGCCUGAGACAGCGACGCCGCGUGCGGGAGAACGGCCUUCGGGUGGUAAACCGCGUUCGCCUGUGACGAAGCGUGAGUGACGGUAAUGGGUAAAGAAACACCGGCUAACUACGUG
Molecule: ribosomal RNA, 468 nt
Filed under: uncultured bacterium
Lineage: Bacteria
Description: partial 16S ribosomal RNA
Rfam family: Bacterial small subunit ribosomal RNA
Source: RNAcentral